This 473-nucleotide ribosomal RNA is filed under the name uncultured bacterium. Its description in RNAcentral is "bacterial SSU rRNA". It matches the Rfam family "Bacterial small subunit ribosomal RNA", at positions 30 to 533 of the family's 1533-position model. The record is from RNAcentral.
AUUGAACGCUGGCGGCAGGCUUAACACAUGCAAGUCGAGCGGAGACUUCGGUCUUAGCGGCGAACGGGUGAGUAAUACCUAGGAAUCUGCCUAUUAGUGGGGGAUAACGGCUCGAAAGGGUCGCUAAUACCGCAUACGUCCUACGGGAGAAAGUGGGGGAUCUUCGGACCUCACGCUAAUAGAUGAGCCUAGGCCGGAUUAGCUAGUUGGUAGGGUAAAGGCCUACCAAGGCGACGAUCCGUAGCUGGUCUGAGAGGAUGAUCAGCCACACUGGAACUGAGACACGGUCCAGACUCCUACGGGAGGCAGCAGUAAGGAAUUUUCCACAAUGGGCGAAAGCCUGAUGGAGCAACGCCGCGUGCAGGAUGAAGGCCCUAGGGUUGUAAACUGCUUUUAUAUGUGACGAAUAUGACGGUAGCAUAUGAAUAAGGAUCGGCUAACUCCGUGCCAGCAGCCGCGGUAAUGUACAGUGU